Long non-coding RNA from Canis lupus familiaris (dog), 427 nucleotides. RefSeq lists it as uncharacterized. The transcript has 2 exons. The record is from RefSeq and is a predicted model, not a curated record. Lineage: Eukaryota; Metazoa; Chordata; Mammalia; Carnivora; Canidae.
UCAACAUAGUAGAUAGAAUUAUAAUGAUUCCCUUGGGGCUAACAGUAUGAAUUAAUUUUAAAAUGGAAAUUUGAAACAUUUAGAACUGGAAAGAUGGUUAUUAGUGAACUAGUCCAAACUCUGCAUUUUGAAAAAAAAAAUAUUUUAAAGGCUCCACAAAACAGGCCAGAUGGAGCAAUCAGAACAGAGAAAGAACACUGAACCUGAAGUCAGACAACCUGAGUUUCCUUCCAGCUUCUGCAUCUUAUGAUUCUAUUUGGCAGAAGUUCCCAGCUGACUAUCACUGCAGAGGUUUCCAAACACUAGAAAAUACUAUUAUUUCAACACACAAAGCAGUGGUCUAAUGCCCUCUGGGCAUCUUGGUUGUCCACCUCAGGAUAGUAAAGAAAAUACUGGUAUUUAUAAUAAAAUGUGACUAUUCCUGUUC